GCGUUCUUUUGUAAAACCGAUCGUGAUGGGGAUAGAACAUUGCAAUUAUUGUUCUUCAACGAGGAAUGCCUAGUAAGCGUGAGUCAUCAUCUCGCGUUGAUUACGUCCCUGCCCUUUGUACACACCGCCCGUCGCUCCUACCGAUUGAAUGUGCUGGUGAAGACUUCGGAUUGGCUGUUUGGUUAGGUUUCCUGACCUUACCGCUGAGAAGUUGUUUAAACCCUCCCAUUUAGAGGAAGGAGAAGUCGUAACAAGGUUUCCGUAGGUGAACCUGCGGAAGGAUCAUUGAAUUCCAUCCACAUCCACUCGCGAACUAUCCCUGUACCCCUCUUGCUGUCCUCACGGACGGCCUGAGCGGCUGGCUCUCGGGCCAGUCGGGCUCCUCGUCCUAGGACGCGGAGUCGGCAAACCAACAACACACCCAACAAAAUGUCUGUCUGAAGCUAACUCAACUCGGCAACGCCGGUUGACUAACAAUGACAACUCUCAACAACGGAUAUCUUGGCUCUCGCAACGAUGAAGAACGCAGCGAAAUGCGAUACGUAAUGUGAAUUGCAGAAUUCCGUGAAUCAUCGAAUCUUUGAACGCAUAUUGCGGUCGAGGCUUCGGCCGAGACCAUGCCUGCCUCAGCGUCGUAAUAGUGCAACUCCUCACCCCCCUGCCCUUGUGGUGGACGGGAGUGGACCUGGUCUCCUCAUCGCCUGGCGAUGGGCUGGCUGAAACUCGGAGAUUCACGCUCGGGCCUGUACGGCAACAGCAAGGUAGGUGGCUCGUUCACUCCGGCUGAUGCUUAGGGCACGCGCACGGAUCCUUCAGAAAAACUUUUACACUGACCUGAGAUCAGACAAGGCUACCCGCUGAACUUAAGCAUUAAAAAAAUAAACAACA
Molecule: ribosomal RNA, 888 nt
Filed under: Monostroma arcticum
Lineage: Eukaryota; Viridiplantae; Chlorophyta; Ulvophyceae; Ulvales; Monostromataceae
Description: eukaryotic LSU rRNA
Rfam family: Eukaryotic small subunit ribosomal RNA (bases 1-288)
Source: RNAcentral